GCGAUCAUACCAACACUAAUGCACCGGAUCCCAUCAGAACUCCGAAGUUAAGCGUGCUUGGGCGAGAUCAAUACUAGGAUGGGUGACCCCUUGGGAAGUCCUUGUGUUGCACCU
RNAcentral lists this ribosomal RNA (114 nucleotides) under Zingiber officinale. Lineage: Eukaryota; Viridiplantae; Streptophyta; Magnoliopsida; Zingiberales; Zingiberaceae. The record is from RNAcentral.